UCAUUAAGUCGUAUUCAGCUUCAACACCUACACGAAACGUUCCCAGAGGCUGCGGCACUUGGCGAUGACGUGGAUCGAACAUCACUCCACUAGGAUGGAGUUACGAGUCUUCUAAAGAAAAUAUUUGAUUGAUUCUCUAGCUAAAUAGGAGGGAAAUAAGAAGAUGUGAAUCUCUAGGAUACUCCAACAAUCGAGUCUUAAUUAAAUUUCCUACUAGAUUGGCACUCCAGUCUGUAAUUGGAAUUAGUGGCGACGUUAAGGAAAAUCCAAUGGCCGAAACGUAUAUAGUGGAACAAGAAUGCGUCAACGAAGUGGAAUACAUGAAUAUUUCAGUGACAAAUCAGCAAAAAGUGAAAAGUUUAGCAGGGUCUUAUGUCAUGUAUAAGAUCGAAACCACUACCAAUUUUCGACAUUUUGACAAAAGAACGAUGACUGUGACGAGAAGAUUCGGUGAUUUUAUUGGUCUAUACGAAAAAUUACGCGAAAGAUACGAAAGUGAAGGACGUAUCAUCCCCCCUCCACCCGAAAAGAAGACUCCUGUUAGCGAAAGAAUUUCAAGAAUGAGGAAAACCGAUAAAGUUUCUGAAUGGAAGACCUCAGCACUUCAACGCUAUCUUAAUCGCUUGGCCAGACAUCCAGUACUCAAAUAUGACCCCAUUUUAAGAGAAUUUCUAGAACUGAAAUCGGUUAUACCACGUUCUUAUAGAAGAUCGCCAUUUUCUGCAAGGACUAUACGUUGUCAUUUCAAGAAAUUAGGAGAAUCAAUGGGUAGAAUAUAUGCUAUGGAUGAUGAUGAACCCUGGUUUAAAACUAAAUACCAACAUCUGGAUACCUUAGAAGAUAAUUUGAAGAAAUGGUUAAACAGCAUCGCUACUGUUAUAUGUCAGAGACAAGCUUUAUCUUCAGGUCUAGGUGAAAUAGCCAGAGCAACUGCAUUAGUCGCAGGUUGUGAAGAGAACAAUAUCUUUUCACGACUAUUGUAUAAAGUUGCAGAAGCACAAAAGGAGACUGAAGAGUUACAACUUCAAGAGGCUGAAAGUGAUUAUGGAACGUUAUACGAACUGAUAAAAGAUUAUAUUAUCCUUUUAGAUGUGGUCAAGCAAAUAUUUUGGGAGCGAUUGAAAACAGUUCAUUUGAUUAAAUUAGACGAACAAAAAUUGAUAGAUAAGGUAAAGAGGAUGCACAAAGAGACUGAUUACUACAAGCAAGAGUGCUUAAGAGAUAUCAUUUUACAGAAUCGAAAAUAUACAACAAAAAACAAUCCUUAACCACAUUAUCCAAAGUAAUCCGUGAAGAAUUCGAGCACUUUGAACAAACAAGAUUAGGAGAAUUCGAAUCCGUGAUUAAUAAAAGACUGGAAUCAUUUGUGGGAACUCAUCAACAGAUGAUUAACUAUUGGAAAGCAUUGCUACCAGAGGAACAGGGAAUUGAUUAAGAUUUUUUUUUCUACUCC
Molecule: unclassified non-coding RNA, 1453 nt
Filed under: Centruroides sculpturatus (bark scorpion)
Lineage: Eukaryota; Metazoa; Arthropoda; Arachnida; Scorpiones; Buthidae
Description: sorting nexin-2-like, transcript variant X2
Source: RNAcentral